GAGACGCAACUUGCAAUUUUUUUCCUAGUUCGUGUAUCACGUAAGCAAUUCGUGGUGAUAGACACUCACAAUGGCCCGAAGCACAAUAUAAUAUCAAGCACCAAUGGUCCACAAUAGUUUUCAGUACUGCAAAUCCUUGUAGUCUACUGGCUUCACUCAAAUGGGACAGCGUGCCUUGCACUCAGCCGAUGUAUUUAUACUUGCACAUGCAUAGCCGCCUGGUCAAACUUUGCAGAACUAUCACUUAUUAGUCACUCCACCAUAAGAAAUACAUUACCAGCUUAACACCUUGGCAUGUUUAGAAUUUCAAUGAAGGAAGAUUGAAUAGCGAUAUAAAUUUGGAAACAAUUAGGACCGUGUCUUGUGAUGUUGUUAGCUAAAUAACUCAAGAAAAAGAUGAUCUUGUCACUAAGCCAGAUCUGGAAUUGCCUCCAAAAGCCAAAUCGUGCAACUUGAAAAUUACGAGGAAAUCAGUAGUACACGAAAUCAUUAGCUUAACAGAGUGUCAGAUCGGAUAGUAUUAGUUUGUAAAAGAUACCCUAAUUGAUAUAAACUCAAUAUUCAUCGAUCUGAUUCUCCAACAAAUAUGAAAAGGCAACUCUAAAUUGCUCAAAAAUAAUAAUGAAACUCCUAUUUGCUUGAGACAAACAGAAAAUACCUUAAGAGGGAGGUGGCAAAGAUUAGAAUUUAGUAAAGGACACCGAUGACAGUAGUUGCUUCCUCUUCGUCAAAUAUCCCCCCAUGUCUUCCUUGGGACCGUCAAAAGAAUGCAAUAGUGGAGCGUUACAAAUCGAUCGGUUCAAUCUAACUCAAACAACAGCUCAUGGAUCCCUUCAAACCAAUACGAAGUUGAAGCCCUCGGACUGGCCGUGGCGAAUUCUGACGAUGUAGCAGGGCAAGCCUCAAAACGUGUCGCUAGCGAACGAGCCACCAAUUCUGCUGGAUGACGCGUCCCAAUUAGAAAUCGUGCGAGAGCUGGACGCCUCUCCAUCCACGGCCACAUCAUGUCUCGCGGACUUGUAUGUACGUCUGGGUCCUGAGGUUACGCUUGCGCCUACGUCCGUGCUGCGAUGAUAGACGCAAACCACCACACGCCAUGGGUGGAGAAGGAGCACCCUCUGCUCGCCCGCGCCGACGUCGCUGAAGGACAAGCCGCUUUCCUCGGCGACGGCGAGGCCCAGGCCGCCAGGUUUUGAUAUCGCGGUGACCGACUCAGAUGCAAGGCAAAGGAGAGGGAAAGUAGAGGAUCGGGGAUUGGGGCUGAUAUGGUUUAUGCGGAUGCAAGGGGAAGAGGAGGAGUCCGACACGUUGUGGCUUUC
RNAcentral lists this ribosomal RNA (1319 nucleotides) under Triticum aestivum (bread wheat). RNAcentral describes it as "partial small subunit ribosomal RNA". Lineage: Eukaryota; Viridiplantae; Streptophyta; Magnoliopsida; Poales; Poaceae. The record is from RNAcentral.